UUUUGUUGUGGAUGGCAGAAG
RNAcentral lists this microRNA (21 nucleotides) under Medicago truncatula (barrel medic). RNAcentral's name for it is "mtr-miR5234". The record is from miRBase by way of RNAcentral. Lineage: Eukaryota; Viridiplantae; Streptophyta; Magnoliopsida; Fabales; Fabaceae.